GCUUGCGUAACGUUUUUCAGCCCUUUUAUCCCCGAAAAGGAAGAGGGAGAGAGACGCAUAUGCUUCGUACAUAGAUCUCUUUGAGUAUCGGGCCUUCCUUCCAUGAAGGAAAAGAACAGUCAACACGCUCCACCAGGUGGCGUCCGCGUGGUCCAUUCCAGUUUGUUCUAUUUCGUUUUCCUUCAACUUCGCUUCUUGAAGAGAAUCACAUGGUUCCUAAAUAAAAAUUCCCAAACAUCUCAUCGGCGCACAAGUGGCAAUCAUGCGCAAUCAUGCGCUUUUAUCAUCGAUUGAACCUGCAAACGCAUGUGAAUCAUAUGUUGGCGUGUGCAUACUAAUAUCACGAUUUUAUCAAUAAUAAUAAUGUAUUUGUAUUCACAAUAGUAGGAGAAACAUUAUGAUGCGUCAUAACGGCAGCAUUACCGGAGAGGCGGAGACCCGGAGAGAUGUCUUCUUAUAUCCUUGCGUCAAUUUGUAAAACCCUUUUUAUUAUUAUUAUUUAUCUAUCUAUCUAUCUACUUUUUGCUGUGUGUAUUUUUCUUGUGGCAGUAGUGUCUACUGCUCUACUCUUACAAAGAUGUUUAGGUGAUGAAUAGGGUCGACGGUCGAGGCAUGUUGAAGUGUUGAAGUUGAAGGGUUGAAUAUAUCGUAAAUUAUUAAUUUUCGUCACCAGGUGGCGGCGACUUCUGGGGAAUCAGAAUUCAGAAUUCAGAAAGAUGCAGACGACGCUGACGUUAAUUGAAAAUUGAAAUUAGAAUUCACAGAUCACAAUAUCAAUAUCAAUGUUUCUGAUCCACGUGUUUACCUUACAGUUGAAGCAAGUUAAUGCAAGAAAUCAUAACGAAAAGAAGAUUCUGGCACUAGAUCACACAUUAUUAUGGGAAAAGAAGUCAAAGAUUUCGAAGAGUCACAUACAGCUGUUCAAGUGAUCUGUGAAGAUCUACCUAUAUCUAAUUUUGAAUUACAUUGGGAAUCUCAGUUUCUCGAUAUUUCAUUGAAGGAUUGGUUAAAAUAUUUAUGUUAUCAGAAUGACAAGGCAAUUUCAUGGCAUGACACCCUGACGAUUGAUCUGAGGACCUCCCAUCCUAUGGGAGAAAGUAACCUCUCCCCACCAUCUGUCUUUGGUUUUCCCGAUCCUAUUGCUCUCAAACAUUUUAUCCGAAAACUGCAGUCAACAAAUCAGAAUUCGUAACGGCAAAGAAAAUUUCCUUUCAAGAAAUUCAUACAACAUUUAGGCAUCAGUCGUUACUGCACCUCGUUUCUUGCCUUCAAAUCGCCUCUAAACUGGAAAACGGUUACAAGGUAGUAACAGUGAAGGAUGCGGUUGACCUUCUCCAGAAGUCCAAAAGACCCAGCGAUCGUUCCACCAUUGUGAAUUCAGAGGUCCUAGUUCUCGUCACACUUAAUCACGAAGUUGACCUUCCACCAAUCAACGACUUCCUCGACACCUUUAUCUGUCAGUUGAUAAGGGUUUUAAAAAAGAAACCAGCACUGGCAAAGAUCAAGCAGUUACUUUUGAAGGUUGACGAGAUUCAUCAAGUAUCUAUGGAUUUCAUCCGCGCCAUAUACUUUGAUCAGCAGGUGAUUAUUGGGCGAAUAGUUGCUGGUCUUCGUCUUGAUGAAUCCGCCAAAGGAUUAAUAAGUGAGAAAGGAAUUUAUGAUUUCCACCGAGUUCAGUCUGACAAAGUUUUGCUGGCUGCUGGAGCGAUCACUGCCGCUGUAUUUAUCAUUCAACCAAACGCUGUUUCUGAUGUUCUGCGAGAACUUCACAUACGAACAGGAGCCUAUCCAUCAGAAGUGGCCGUGGUUUCUUCCUUGUUGGUCGGUCAUCUAGAGCCGAUUGUAUAACAGUUACAACAGCCUCAGAAACCUUCAGUGACUUCGUUUUUCAAUACUUUCUUAUCAUGUAUGUGUGUACGUGUUAUGUAAAUAGCCUUUAUUUUGCAUUCUGAAAAUUAGAUAUUUGUUAAGAUGUUAAA
RNAcentral lists this unclassified non-coding RNA (1979 nucleotides) under Daphnia pulicaria. RNAcentral describes it as "cyclin N-terminal domain-containing protein 1-like, transcript variant X3". Lineage: Eukaryota; Metazoa; Arthropoda; Branchiopoda; Diplostraca; Daphniidae. The record is from RNAcentral.